Molecule: ribosomal RNA, 525 nt
Filed under: uncultured bacterium
Lineage: Bacteria
Description: bacterial SSU rRNA
Rfam family: Bacterial small subunit ribosomal RNA
Source: RNAcentral
AAUAGAUACCCUGGUAGUCCUGGCUGUAAACGAUGGGCACUAGGUGGCGGGCUCGCCGAUGGGCGCGCCACUCAAGCGAAAGCGUGAAGUGCCCCGCCUGGGGAGUAUGGUCGCAAGGCUGAAACUCGAAAGGAAUUGACGGGGGCUCACACAAGCGGUGGAGCAUGUGGCUCAAUUCGAGGCUACGCGAAGAACCUUAUCCUGGGCUUGACAUGCACGGAUUAGCCGGCGGAAACGUCGGCGAGGCCGCAAGGUACAACGUGCACAGGUGCUGCAUGGCUGUCGUCAGCUCGUGCCGUGAGGUGUUGGGUUAAGUCCCAUAACGAGCGCAACCCCUGUGGCCAGUUACCAGCGGGUAACGCCGGGAACUCUGGCCAGACCGCCGGCGUCAAGCCGGAGGAAGGCGGGGACGACGUCAAGUCAUCAUGGCCCUUAUGCCCAGGGCUGCACACGUGCUACAAUGGGGCGGACAGAGCGUCGCCAGGCCGCGAGGCCGCGCCAAUCGCAAAAACCGCCCCCAGGUUC